This 301-nucleotide ribosomal RNA is filed under the name uncultured bacterium. RNAcentral describes it as "partial 16S ribosomal RNA". It matches the Rfam family "Bacterial small subunit ribosomal RNA", at positions 509 to 808 of the family's 1533-position model. The record is from RNAcentral.
CAGCCGCCACGGUAAUACAGAGGAUGCAAGCGUUAUCCGGAAUGAUUGGGCAUAAAGUGUCUGUAGGUGGCUUUUCAAGUCCGCUGUCAAAUCCCCGGGCUCAACCCCGGACAGGCAGUGGAAACUACCAAGCUGGAGUACGGUAGGGGCGGAGGGAAUUUUUGGUGGAGCGGUGAAAUGCGUUGAGAUCGGAAAGAACAGCAACGACGAAAGCACUCUGCUGGGCCGACACUGACACUGAGAGACGAAAGCUAGGGGAGCAAAUGGGAUUAGAUACCCGGUAGUCCCUGUCUCUUAUACC